This is a long non-coding RNA of Pseudoliparis swirei, 4890 nucleotides long. RefSeq lists it as uncharacterized. The record is from RefSeq and is a predicted model, not a curated record. NCBI's taxonomy places the organism in Eukaryota, Metazoa, Chordata, Actinopteri, Perciformes, Liparidae. The transcript has 2 exons.
CAUGACUAUAUGGGUAGUGCUCAGAGAAGAGGGGAGACUAGUUGGAACCAUGUCGUCCCGAUCCUUCCGACCCUGUGUGAAUUUAUGUCGGAACAUUAUCCGGGCAGUUUAGAUCAAAUGCAAAAAUGGAUAGAAGUUGGUUUUCCUUCAAACGGAAGUUUGAGCGAGAAUCAAUUAAAACAGUUGGAGGUGCAACUGAGGGAGGAGAUGAGCGCGACGGCUCAGCAUGCAGUCUUAUCAAAGAAAAAGCAGAAGAAUGUGAUAUUUAAGGCAGACUGGGAAGCCUUUGGAAUGUGGGAAUUUGAAAAAAAAAAAAAAAAAAAAAGGGAGAGACAGAGAUUGAAAGCAUUUAAUUCGCUAAAUUCCAAAAAGCCUACAAAGAAUGUUAACAAGUGUCAUUGCAUUCACCCAACUACUGUGUAUUCUUGUCUUUCUGAGAUACUGAGAGAAUCGGUGGCUCCAGACCUGGAUUCCGCCCCCCCCUUUUGCUCCGCCAGCCUGCUUGCAGCAGCCUUCUCAGUCAAAUGCAGCUUCAUCGGACACAGUCCAAGAGGGACACAGACUCUGGAACAAUGCAAAGACCAUCUGAAAGAGCGUUUCGUGAGCGGGACGAGACCAAACUCCGGCAGAUGGUGAGAAAAUCAUAUGUUCCACUAACAGAUGUCCUAAAGCACGCUGAACAUGCUAAAGGCGGAGUUGCACAGAAAAGAGAUGCUUGCAACGAUCAACACACUUGCAAGGCAAAUACGGAAUAUUCCCCCAUGGCAACUUGGGAGGACAAGAGGUCGAGCCAGAGGCAGAAUGGAUCUGACCCUACAAAGAUAUGAUUCAAGUGAGUGCUACAACUGCGGAGGGCAUGGACACUGGCGAACAGAGUGUCCGGAGCCCAAAAAGGAAGACCCACUUUCUACACGGCUGAGCGGAGGGAGGCGGGGGAGGGGCGGAUCCCAGAGACGGACAACCCUCUCCAGGACAAACAAGUAAGGCACACUACACAAAAGGGAAACAAAAGAAGCAAACUUUAACAUUGAUUUUCUAACUAUCCUUUAAAGAUGUUUUGACUCAGAAGCUAAAAUCUCAUUUGUAAAAUUGAAAUUCCCAUUAUUUUAGGCUAUAAGAAAUAGCUCAAAACCACUCUGUAGCGAAAAGAGUGAAAAACUAAUAUUAGACCAUGGAGCUUCAGUUGCUCAUGAUCUUUUCACAUUGCAUACAGUACUGCAGCAGAAGAUUACAUGCCAUUAUUACGUUGUCAUGUAAGCAAAGGAAGUAUUGGUGAGAGAGGACUGCUGUUGGGUCUGUCCGUGUGUCUCCCUCCAUCUCAGGAAAUGUGCCUUGGAGCUGCCCUGCAUAUAUCACUGACAGACUAUCGCACUGGGAAGGGCGAGGAUCCGGGUCCGUGUUUUGCAAUGCGUCUCGGCCUUUCAAAAGAAACAACGACCGGGUGCUGAGAAACAGGGAUUAGCGCUAUUGGUAAUGUUUUAAACUACAUUGACCAUCACAGUAAGUGUACACGAAUAAAAAACAAAGGAAGAAGGGAAAAAGGGAGAACACAAAAAAAAAAUAAGAAAGAAAAGAAGAACAAAAGUAACACAUGGGGACCAAAAUGUCUAAAGGGUUAUCAUGAAAGACCAGGCAUGUCCCAUAGAGUGCUUAGUGAAAACUUUGGAAUUCUAUAGACGAUGUAUUAGUUUAUAUAAUAUUAUAUGUAUGUAUUGUAUUAUAUGAUGAAUUACAGCCAUCAAAGGAGGCUUGUAAAAUUAACACAAUCUAAACAUUUGGCAGAUAAUGGACAUAAAGCUAGUCUACAAAAAGAAAAAGGAAACAUCAAUGUGCACUAAAACGAGUAAUCUAUCUGGGACAUGUGAUCACAGGAGAGGGCAAAUUCCUCUCUCCCAAAAUGUAUUGUGGUAGUUCAAUCACUACCAAAACUAAUUAAGAAGAAACAAAUUAUGUUUUUUAGGAACGACGUCAUACUACAGACAGUGGAUCCCAAAUGACUUAGAAAGAGAGGCACACCUCUCGUCCAUGGUAAAGGCCUCAGCGAACAUGACUUACUGACUUAGACUAUAAAAGCAAAAGACAGAAGAGAACUUAAAGACUUCCUUACUACAGGCCGACCGGGGCCUGCCGAGACCCAACUUGAUAUGUAUUUUAUACAUAGACCGAAAUGACUGUUACAUGAACUCCAGUUGUGUCAGCCUCAUGGAGGAAAACUUAGGCCUGUGUCCGACUUCUCCUCGACAUUACUUUGUUGUCACAGGUCUUCCUCUCUGUUGCAGCAGCUGGAGAAGCCAUGGAUUAACAUCACGGGACAUUGUGGGCUAUUCUGAUGUCACACUUAUAGUCCCGCAUGCAGUUUCCCACAUCUUCCAUGCCAGAAGACUUCUCACCUCUCUGCUCAGAGAUGGUUCAGAUAUCAUGUUGGAAUAGCGUGACAUUACGGUAUUGCAACAGACAUGCAUCCCGAGACCUGAUCUGUUGGACACACCUCCUUCCAAUGCAGAUUCAAGCUAUCUGUAGCUAUCCAGCUCACCCAUAACGGGGCAGCGGUCAGGUUGUAUGUUACAUCACAUCACACACUUGUUGGUGUCAGGCUUACUGCACACCGAUCAGUACAAGCAGCAGAGCUGAUUGCACUCACAGAGGAAUGUAAGGUAGCUAAAAAGGUCAAACUAACAAUUACACAGGUUCAGUUCAGGUAUCUGGAACGUACAUGACCUUGGGCCUCUGUGGAAGACACAGAGGAUUUCUAACAGUGGCAAACCUAUGCACACCACACGGUGGGUUCAGCUGUUUUCAGUCGUUAAAUGUGAAGCUCACAUCUCUUCUUUUGACCUGUGUCAAUAGUAAACAUAGUGGCAGAUCUGGUGGCAAAGGCGGCAGCCUUAUCAGGCACCCCUUUUCCCCACAUAGACUGAUUCCAGUCCUUAGGCAGAUUUUUCCACAAUUCAUUCUUUUACCAAUGCCCAGGAGCGCUCCCUAUGGAAUGCUCUGGUGCCACUCUUUGAGUCGAGGGGUUGACAGGCCUAGACGGCAAGCCUUGUUUGCCACGCGCUCUCUUCCAUACUUCUAGAUUUUCUCAUGGAGGAGACCACGUGGGCAAAGGGGGAAUGGGUAAUGCUCUAAAUGCAAGUUCAUACACCAGAGAAUUUUCAACAUUUGCAAUAAAUAACAACAGCAGGGUCACCGCCCUGCAGAUACACUUUUUGAACAGUUAGUAAUGUAUUUUAAAUCUCAACGUUUUUAGGUUUUAACAUCAGGCAUCAUUGUUCUUAUCAUCCUCAAUCAGCUGAUUGAGUUGAACGAGAAAAUGGUACUAUUAAAUCUAAACUAGCGAAAUGUUGUGAAGAGACAGGCCUAUCUUCGGUGAAGGCACUUCCGCGAGUGCUUUUUCACAUGCGCAUGCGAAUACAGCAUGCUAAGAUAUUGUGCCAACCUAUCAUCCUCGCUCUCAGCACUUCACACACAGGUGAAAUCUAUACUUCCCUCACCAGCCACUGCGGUCCAGCAUCACCUGAAACCAGGAGACUGGGUGCUCAUCAAGGAUCACAGGAGGAAGCACGGGAAGCAGAGACACUACACGGGUCCCUUCCAAGUACCCCGACAACGGAGACGGUGGUGAGAGUGGAAGGAGAACAACGUAGGUCUACGCCAGCCACUGCAAACACAUCCCAGAUCCAGAAGGAGAAGGAACAGUGAUGGAAGAAAGAUCUCCAGCAUCACGACACUCCUUUGAGAAGCACAAGUGCAGCCAGAGCAAAAGCAUCCACUCACUGCUCUCUCUGACCACGGCAGCAAGGAUACUGUUCCUGAUCUUGGAAUUACAAUGACGAAACAUAAACGGCAAAGAUACGAGCCCGUUUCAUCUCACGAAGAAGUGGCAGGAAUUGCCCAACAGGACGAUGUGUUCCCUCUCCUCAAUAGAUUGAUUGAUAUGUUAAUAUGGACGAACAACUUCGUCAAAUAGUAUGUGAGUGGUGUUAAGUGGCCUACCAGCAGGUCAGUAAAGCACAGCCAAAACCAGCACCUAUUGGAAACAUGUACUUUUAAGCCCAACACAGUUUCUAUUCGAUUAGAAAAUAGGUAUACAGAGCAUACCUUGAGUAAAUAAAUUCAAAGUCAAGCAUUCAUCUUGGACUAAAAGCAUAAUUGUACUAAAUCUUUAACUAAGACCAGACCUAGAGGUGAAGAUUCACCAAACCCAAACCAUCCAUUCUGAUCUAUUCUUUGACUAAUGUCAGCUGUCGUGUUAAUUUCUACGUGUUAGGAUAACUAAUUUGAGAAUAGUGUGUAACUAAACAAGAUCAGUACAUAGUGGGUAUUAGUAGACAAAAACCAUACUUUGCACUCAGAGGUUAAUGAUGUAAUGUCUUGAAAUCUUUGGGAAUCUACCUCACUGAUGUAUGUCCUACAAAUGGCUGUAUACUAACUUUUGACUAUCAUUUUUCAGUUGUUAAAAUUUGUCAAAAAUGACAAAAAGAGUGAGAUGUUGGGGAAACAUGUGUUUUAGAAGUUCUCUCUCUCCUGGAAUGUGUUAACAGUUGUCUCUUCCAAAUGUCUAUGGAGGAUAAUCUAAUCCUGUGUGGGGUCAUGUGAAAAGGUCACAACCCAGGCUCUCAUGGGAAAAGGUCACAACCCAGGGGUCUUGAGGUAAUGACCAAACCGAGCUUGACUGGAACCAGAUGGACUUUGGAAUGUGGAUUCUCUCUGAGAUCUAUAAAGGUUGCAGUAUUGCAUAGAGAAGGCAGCAGUUAUUUCUGACGGCCUUGAGAGAAGGCUCAGGGAUCCUGCUCCAUUCAGCUGAAUGUUUUCAUGACUUGUUUGUUAUUUAGCGUUUGGUUGAUGACUUGUAAACUUGUUACUAUAAUAAAGUGUUAUGGGUCAACCAUG